This 381-nucleotide ribosomal RNA is filed under the name uncultured eukaryote. RNAcentral describes it as "partial 18S ribosomal RNA". It matches the Rfam family "Eukaryotic small subunit ribosomal RNA", at positions 592 to 976 of the family's 1831-position model. The record is from RNAcentral.
CAAUAGCGUCUAUUAAAGCUGUUGCGGUUAAAAAGCUCGUAGUUGGAUUUCUGUCAAGGACAACUGGUCCGCCCUCCGGGUGAGCACAUAGUUUGGUCUUGACAUCUUGCUGGAAGCUGUUGCUGCACUUGGCUGUGUGGCGCAGUGUUCAACACUUUCACUUUGAGGAAAUUGGAGUGUUUCAAGCAGGCACAUGCCUUUGGACACAGUAGCAUGGAAUAAUUAGAUUGGGCUUUUGCUCCAAUUUGUCGGUUUCUGGAGCUGAGGUGAGUAUUAAUGGGGAUUGUUGGGGGCAUCCGAAUUUAGCCGUCAGAGGUGAAAUUCUUGGAUCUGCUAAAGACGGACAACUGCGAAAGCGUUUGCCCAGGAUGUUUUCAUUGA